RNAcentral lists this ribosomal RNA (245 nucleotides) under uncultured bacterium. RNAcentral's name for it is "partial 16S ribosomal RNA". It matches the Rfam family "Bacterial small subunit ribosomal RNA", at positions 524 to 767 of the family's 1533-position model. The record is from RNAcentral.
UACAGAGGGUGCAAGCGUUGUUCGGAAUUAUUGGGCGUAAAGGGUGCGUAGGCGGUCUGACAAGUCUGAUGUGAAAUCUAUGGGCUCAACCCAUAGUCUGCAUCGGAAACUGUCGGGCUUGAGUAUGGGAGAGGUGAGUGGAAUUUCCGGUGUAGCGGUGAAAUGCGUAGAUAUCGGGAGGAACACCAAUUGCGAAGGCAGCUCGCUGGGACGUUACGUGACGCUGAGACGCGAAAGCGUGGGGA